This 1636-nucleotide ribosomal RNA is filed under the name Listeria monocytogenes. Its description in RNAcentral is "partial 23S ribosomal RNA". It matches the Rfam family "Bacterial large subunit ribosomal RNA", at positions 1 to 1627 of the family's 2925-position model. The record is from RNAcentral. Lineage: Bacteria; Bacillati; Bacillota; Bacilli; Caryophanales; Listeriaceae.
UUGGUUAAGUUAGAAAGGGCGCACGGUGGAUGCCUUGGCACUAGGAGCCGAAGAAGGACGGGACUAACACCGAUAUGCUUUGGGGAGCUGUACGUAAGCGUUGAUCCAGAGAUUUCCGAAUGGGGGAACCCACUAUCUUUAGUCGGAUAGUAUCCUUACGUGAAUACAUAGCGUAAGGAAGGCAGACCCAGGGAACUGAAACAUCUAAGUACCUGGAGGAAGAGAAAGAAAAAUCGAUUUCCUGAGUAGCGGCGAGCGAAACGGAAAGAGCCCAAACCAAGAAGCUUGCUUCUUGGGGUUGUAGGACACUCUAUACGGAGUUACAAAAGAAAGUUAUAAAUGAAGCGGUCUGGAAAGGCCCGCCAAAGACGGUAACAGCCCGGUAGUUGAAAUGGCUUUCCCUCCAGAGUGGAUCCUGAGUACGGCGGAACACGUGAAAUUCCGUCGGAAUCCGGGAGGACCAUCUCCCAAGGCUAAAUACUCCCUAGUGACCGAUAGUGAACCAGUACCGUGAGGGAAAGGUGAAAAGCACCCCGGAAGGGGAGUGAAACAGUUCCUGAAACCGUGUGCCUACAAGUAGUUAGAGCCCGUUAAUGGGUGAUAGCGUGCCUUUUGUAGAAUGAACCGGCGAGUUACGAUUUGUUGCAAGGUUAAGCGGAAAAAGCGGAGCCGUAGCGAAAGCGAGUCUGAAUAGGGCGCAUAAGUAACAGGUCGUAGACCCGAAACCAGGUGAUCUACCCAUGUCCAGGAUGAAGGUAAGGUAAUACUUACUGGAGGUCCGAACCCACGCACGUUGAAAAGUGCGGGGAUGAGGUGUGGGUAGCGGAGAAAUUCCAAUCGAACUUGGAGAUAGCUGGUUCUCUCCGAAAUAGCUUUAGGGCUAGCCUCGAGGUAAAGAGUCAUGGAGGUAGAGCACUGUUUGGACUAGGGGCCCUUCUCGGGUUACCGAAUUCAGAUAAACUCCGAAUGCCAUGUACUUAUACUCGGGAGUCAGACUGCGAGUGAUAAGAUCCGUAGUCGAAAGGGAAACAGCCCAGACCACCAGUUAAGGUCCCCAAAUAUAUGUUAAGUGGAAAAGGAUGUGGGGUUGCUUAGACAACCAGGAUGUUGGCUUAGAAGCAGCCACCAUUGAAAGAGUGCGUAAUAGCUCACUGGUCGAGUGACCCCGCGCCGAAAAUGUACCGGGGCUAAACAUAUUACCGAAACUGUGGAUGAACCUCUUCGGAGGUUCGUGGUAGGAGAGCGUUCUAAGGGCGGUGAAGUCAGACCGGAAGGACUGGUGGAGCGCUUAGAAGUGAGAAUGCCGGUAUGAGUAGCGAAAGAAGGGUGAGAAUCCCUUCCACCGAAUAUCUAAGGUUUCCUGAGGAAGGCUCGUCCGCUCAGGGUUAGUCGGGACCUAAGCCGAGGCCGAUAGGCGUAGGCGAUGGACAACAGGUAGAGAUUCCUGUACCAGUGCUAAUUGUUUAACCGAUGGGGUGACACAGAAGGAUAGGGAAUCGCACGAAUGGAAAUGUGCGUCCAAGCAGUGAGUGUGAGAAGUAGGCAAAUCCGCUUCUCGCGAAGCAUGAGCUGUGAUGGGGAAGGAAAUUAAGUACGGAAGUUCCUGAUUUCACGCUGUCAAGAAAAGCCUCUAGGA